This 112-nucleotide ribosomal RNA is filed under the name uncultured bacterium. RNAcentral describes it as "partial 16S ribosomal RNA". It matches the Rfam family "Bacterial small subunit ribosomal RNA", at positions 1373 to 1482 of the family's 1533-position model. The record is from RNAcentral.
CUCGGGCCUUGUACACACCGCCCGUCACACCACGAAAGUUGGCAAUACCCGAAGCCGGUGGCCUAACCCGCAAGGGAGGGAGCCGUCGAAGGUAGGGUCGAUGAUUGGGGUG